CUCAGACAGGCAACCGGGAAGUUUCUUUUCUCCAGGAACCACCCCUGUGACAUAUUUAUUCACAGAUCUUUCCGGAAAUUCAGUCACUCGAACAUUAAAUGUGAAGGUGAAUGUGCUAGAUAAUUCUUUUCCAACAGCAGACAGAACUGAUCCUUUUGUCACUAGCUUCCCUGAAGACAUCAGUGUGACUGUUCCCUUUGGCACUCCAAACACAACAGUGACCUGGGCUGAGCCAACAACAAAUGACAAUUUGGGAACUGUCAUCUCAAGCAAGACAAUAGAAUCUGGAAGCCCCUUCCCAACUGGACAGACAACAGCAGUGACUUACACCUUCACUAAUUCUACAGGAAAAUCAGUCACGAAAACCUUCCAAGUUACGGUGGUUGAACUGAGUUGUAGUUCCCGAGUCAAGCGACUGACUGAGCUCUCUUCUCUAAAGAAAAACCCCAAUGUGCAAUUCAGGCCAUACAAGGAGCCCGAGCUUCUACCAGAUGAGCAGACUGCUCUUGCAGAGCUUUCCUUUUGUGGACUGAAAUUGUCAAGUCCUGAAGCGGUACUCUAUGAGAAACGACAGUUGUACACACAA
Long non-coding RNA from Asterias rubens (European starfish), 586 nucleotides. RefSeq lists it as uncharacterized. The record is from RefSeq and is a predicted model, not a curated record. NCBI's taxonomy places the organism in Eukaryota, Metazoa, Echinodermata, Asteroidea, Forcipulatida, Asteriidae. The transcript has 5 exons.